This 253-nucleotide ribosomal RNA is filed under the name uncultured bacterium. Its description in RNAcentral is "partial 16S ribosomal RNA". It matches the Rfam family "Bacterial small subunit ribosomal RNA", at positions 524 to 776 of the family's 1533-position model. The record is from RNAcentral.
UACGUAGGGUGCGAGCGUUGUCCGGAAUUAUUGGGCGUAAAGAGCUCGUAGGCGGCUUGUUGCGUCGACUGUGAAAACCCGCGGCUUAACUGCGGGCUUGCAGUUGAUACGGGCAGGCUAGAGUUCGGUAGGGGAGACUGGAAUUCCUGGUGUAGCGGUGAAAUGCGCAGAUAUCAGGAGGAACACCAAUGGCGAAGGCAGCACUCUGGGACGUGACUGACGCUGAGACGCGAAAGCGUGGGGAGCAAACAGG